CUGGUUGAUCCUGCCAGUAGUCAUAUGCUUGUCUCAAAGACUAAGCCAUGCAUGUCUAAGUAUAAAUGAUAUACAGUGAAACUGCGAAUGGCUCAUUAAAACAGUUAUAGUUUAUUUGGUAAUCGAAUUUACAUGGAUAACCGUGGUAAUUCUAGAGCUAAUACAUGCUGUAAAGCCCGACUCUUCGGAAGGGCCGUAUUUAUUAGAUAACAGACCAAUAUUCCUCGUGUCUAUUGUGGUGAAUCAUAGUAACUAAUCGGAUCGCAUGGGCUAGUCCCGCGACAAACCAUUCAAGUUUCUG
RNAcentral lists this ribosomal RNA (301 nucleotides) under uncultured eukaryote. Its description in RNAcentral is "SSU rRNA". It matches the Rfam family "Eukaryotic small subunit ribosomal RNA", at positions 4 to 309 of the family's 1831-position model. The record is from RNAcentral.